AGCGAACGCUGGCGGCAGGCUUAACACAUGCAAGUCGAGCGGGCAUAGCAAUAUGUCAGCGGCAGACGGGUGAGUAACGCGUGGGAACGUACCUUUUGGUUCGGAACAACACAGGGAAACUUGUGCUAAUACCGGAUAAGCCCUUACGGGGAAAGAUUUAUCGCCAAAAGAUCGGCCCGCGUCUGAUUAGCUAGCUGGUGAGGUAAUGGCUCGCAAAGGCGGCGAUCAGUAGCUGGUCUGAGAGGAUGAUCAGCCACAUUGGGACUGAGACACGGCCCAAACUCCUACGGGAGGCAGAAGUGGGGAAGAUUGGACAAUGGGCGCAAGCUUGAUCCAGCCAUGCCGCGUGAGUGAUGAAGGCCCUAGGGUUGUAAAGCUCUUUUGUGCGGGAAGAUAAUGACGGUACCGCAAGAAUAAGCCCCGGCUAACUUCGUGCCAGCCGCCGCAGUAA
This 451-nucleotide ribosomal RNA is filed under the name uncultured bacterium. RNAcentral's name for it is "partial 16S ribosomal RNA". It matches the Rfam family "Bacterial small subunit ribosomal RNA", at positions 29 to 523 of the family's 1533-position model. The record is from RNAcentral.